CGGGGCGGAUGUAGCCAGUGGAUUAAGGCAGUGGA
Molecule: transfer RNA, 35 nt
Filed under: Pentachlaena orientalis
Lineage: Eukaryota; Viridiplantae; Streptophyta; Magnoliopsida; Malvales; Sarcolaenaceae
Description: partial tRNA-His
Source: RNAcentral